AGCAGUGGGGAAUCUUGCGCAAUGCGCGAAAGCGUGACGCAGCAACGCCGCGUGGGGGAAGACGGCCUUCGGGUUGUAAACCCCUUUCAGUUGGGACGAAGCUUCAACGGUGAAUAGCCGGCUGGAGUGACGGUACCUUCAGAAGAAGCCCCGGCUAACUACGUGCCAGCAGCCGCGGUAAUACGUAGGGGGCAAGCGUUGUCCGGAAUCAUUGGGCGUAAAGCGCGUGUAGGCGGUUCAGUAAGUCUGCUGUGAAAGUCCAGGGCUCAACCCUGGGACGCCGGUGGAUACUGCUGGGCUAGAGUACGGAAGAGGCGAGUGGAAUUCCCGGUGUAGCGGUGAAAUGCGCAGAUAUCGGGAGGAACACCUAUUGCGAAGGCAGCUCGCUGGGACGUUACUGACGCUGAGA
Molecule: ribosomal RNA, 409 nt
Filed under: uncultured bacterium
Lineage: Bacteria
Description: bacterial SSU rRNA
Rfam family: Bacterial small subunit ribosomal RNA
Source: RNAcentral